CCCUUUCCCCCCUUCCCCACCAGGGGGAUGGAUGGACAGGAAAAAAAAAAGAAAAAGAAAAAGGACCCCCAAAAAUGAAAAAUCUGUUCUGAGUUCUUCGAACGCAAAAUUACUCGGUAAAUUUCCAAUUUUCUGUUGUUUACAUGAUACAAUUACCGCUUAAAGUUUGUACUGCACGUAGUGUUUUCCACUAGAUUUUUAAUUUUUGUCAAGUAAUUUUUUUUGGUCUGGAUUGUAACUUCAAUCAUGCAGAGGUUUCAGCAAAUUGAAUCUUGCAGUGAAAAAUUGUUAUUUCUUGAAGGUGUCUACAUUAUGAACAAAUCCUAAUUUUUUUUUUUUUUCCCGAAGUAACAAAUCCUAAACUCUUGUUCACGGACCUUGGAGAUUCCUGCAUACAGUACAGAAAUUUCAUCAAGCGUGGUUGGUUUUAUGCCAACUUUGUAAUUGGUAGAUACUAUAGUGGGGGAUUUGGCCGGGUGCAUAUGUUGGCACUACUUGAAUUCUGAUUGACCCUACUAAAUUCAUGUCAUGCCGAAAGUAUGUAUAUUUUCUUCAGAUGAUCAGAUAAUAGUUGGUCUAAAAUUUAGUUCUUGUACCUCUUGCCACUGAUAUUUCUUGAGAAAAAUUGGCUCAUUUAAUUGGAGCACUAUAUUGAGAAAAUUGAGUUGUGACUACAUCUAAUACCCUUGCUUGAAGGGAUUCUCGCCAAGUUUGGAAAAUUCUUUAUGCCGCCUCAGUUACAUCUGAAGCUGCAUCUCCCACAUAGAGAUGAAACAAUUGAAUGUACAAACAAUGGUUAUGGACUGUAAUCCUACUUAGCUGUGUUCCUCUGCUUUCUAUGGACAAGUUUUGGUUAGUUUCCGAACUGGUAUCUUUUGCAGUACCCUUCCUUUUAUUUGCCUUUGUCCUUAUUCUUGGUGAUUUUACUUGCAGUUUCAUGUAAUCUGCGCUGGAGAGGUCGAGGUGCUCUAGAUUUCCG
RNAcentral lists this long non-coding RNA (979 nucleotides) under Coffea arabica (coffee). RNAcentral's name for it is "long non-coding RNA (CARA_LNC000941)". Lineage: Eukaryota; Viridiplantae; Streptophyta; Magnoliopsida; Gentianales; Rubiaceae. The record is from RNAcentral.